GCAAACCCCGGGCCGCUGGCGGAGAGGAGACGGAGCCUAGCCGGUUGCAGGUGGAUCCAAUUCCCCGCCAGGGCUCUGCCCCGGGGAAGAGAACGAGGCUAGAGGACAAGACGGGUGUCCUCUGACGGAAAGAGACCAGGCUGAGGUUCCUCCCGUCUGACUGGGGUGUCUGAUGUCUCCCGCGUCAGGCAGACAGAGGAUCGCCCGGGCUACCACAUCCUCCCAGUCACCUUGACCAUCAGCCUCAUGUCAGAACUUGUCAGCGGCCCCCACAAAAUAAGACCAACAGCCUGCCCGAGGUGUCGUUUCUUUGGGGCUCUAUGCUGCUGUCUGGGAAUAUUUCUACCACUUUGGAGCUGGGCAAGCUGCGCAAGCUCCCUGUGCCUCAGCUUCCUCAUCCGUAAAAUGGAGACACCACCUCCAGGCAGGACUGUAUUCACUCGACACGCAUGUCUCAGGCGUGCACUGCGUCCCGGAGAGUGGGGUACAGAAGGGGGUGAGGAAACUGAGGCACGUGAGAUGAAGUAACUCGCUCAGAGGCUAGUG
Long non-coding RNA from Eptesicus fuscus (big brown bat), 546 nucleotides. RefSeq lists it as uncharacterized. The transcript is spliced from 3 exons. The record is from RefSeq and is a predicted model, not a curated record. Lineage: Eukaryota; Metazoa; Chordata; Mammalia; Chiroptera; Vespertilionidae.